This 566-nucleotide ribosomal RNA is filed under the name uncultured archaeon. Its description in RNAcentral is "bacterial SSU rRNA". It matches the Rfam family "Archaeal small subunit ribosomal RNA", at positions 313 to 879 of the family's 1478-position model. The record is from RNAcentral.
CGCAUUCGCCCUUCGGGGCGCACCAGGCGCGAAAACUCUACAAUGCAGGCAACUGCGAUAGGGGAACAUCGAGUGCUCAUCAUAUUGGUGGGCUGUCCCACCGUCUAAAAAACGGUGGUUAGCAAGGGCCGGGCAAGACCGGUGCCAGCCGCCGCGGUAAUACCGGCGGCUCGAGUGGUGGCCGAUAUUAUUGAGUCUAAAGGGUCCGUAGCCGGCUUUGCAAGUCUUUUGGGAAAUCCAGCGGCUUAACCGUUGGGCGUCCAAGGGAUACUACAUUGCUUGGGACCGGGAGAGGCGUGAGGUACUCAGGGGGUAGGAGUGAAAUCCUGUAAUCCUUUGGGGACCACCGGUGGCGAAGGCGUCACGCCAGAACAGGUCCGACGGUGAGGGACGAAAGCUAGGGGCACGAACCGGAUUAGAUACCCGGGUAGUCCUAGCCGUAAACGAUGCUCGCUAGGUGUCACAACAAUCGUGAAUUGUUGUGGUGCCGUAGGGAAGCCGUGAAGCGAGCCACUUGGGAAGUACGACCGCAAGGUUGAAACUUAAAGGAAUUGGCGGGGGAGCAC